This 280-nucleotide small RNA is filed under the name zebrafish metagenome. Its description in RNAcentral is "5' ureB small RNA". It matches the Rfam family "5' ureB small RNA". The record is from RNAcentral.
CGAUCUGCUGCGGGCAGAUGAAAUGGAUAUGCGAAUCGAAGCCGCCGGCGGUGAGGAUCUUGCCCUCGCCCGCGAUGAUCUCCGUGCCCGGGCCGAUGACGAUAUUGACCUGCGGCUGGAUGUCGGGGUUGCCGGCCUUGCCGAUGGCGCUGAUCUUGCCGUCGCGGAUGGCGACGUCGGCCUUCACGAUUCCCCAAUGAUCGAGGAUGACGGCGUUGGUGAUGACCGUGUCCGCCGCGCCGUCAGCGCGCGACACCUGAGACUGGCCCAUGCCGUCGCG